UACAGAGGGUGCAAGCGUUGUUCGGAAUUAUUGGGCGUAAAGGGCGCGUAGGCGGUGCGGUAAGUCUGUAGUGAAAUCUCUGGGCUCAACUCAGAGUCUGCUGCAGAAACUGCCGUGCUUGAGUGUGGGAGAGGUGAGUGGAAUUCCCGGUGUAGCGGUGAAAUGCGUAGAUAUCGCUUGGAACGCCGACGGUGAAAACAGCUCGCUGGGGACUCGCUGACGCUGAGACACGAAAGCCAGGGGAGCGAACGGG
This 253-nucleotide ribosomal RNA is filed under the name uncultured bacterium. RNAcentral describes it as "partial 16S ribosomal RNA". It matches the Rfam family "Bacterial small subunit ribosomal RNA", at positions 524 to 776 of the family's 1533-position model. The record is from RNAcentral.